CACGUCGAGCGGCUGAGGGAAAGUAGCUUGCUACUUUUGCCGGCGAGGGGCGGACGGUGGAUUAAUGCCUGGCAAAUUGCCCAGUCACAGCGGGAUAACAGGUGGACUCGACUGCUAUUACCCCUUACGCCCUACGGGGGAAAGCAUGGGACCUUCCGGUCUUGCACGAUUGGAUAUGCCAUUGUGGGAUUAGCUUGGUGGUGAGGCAAUGGCUCAACAAUGCGACGAUGCCUAGAUGGGCUGAUAGGAUGAUCUGCCACUGAGGAACUGACACCCCUCCCACACUCCGACGGAAGGCAGAAUUGUGGAAUAUGGGACAAUGGCUGAUACCCUGAUGCCGCCAGGCCGAGGGUGGGAUGAAGGCCGUCGGGUUGUUUAGCUCUUUCAGCGAGGAGGAAAGGUUGAUACCUAAUACGUAUCAGCUGUGACCUUACUCGCAGACGAAGCACCCGCUAACUCCGUGCCAGGUGCCGCGGAGGUAGGGAGGGUGCAUGCGAUAAUCGGAAUUACUGGUGGUAGAGCGCACGCAGGCGGUUGGAUUAGUUAAAUGUGAAAGUCCCGGUGUCAACCUGGGAAUUGCGUUUAAAACUGUCCAGCUAGACUCUUGUAGAGGGGGGUACAAUUCCCAGUGUACUGGUUAACUGCGUAGAGAGCUGGAACUAUCCCGGUGGCUAAU
Molecule: ribosomal RNA, 676 nt
Filed under: Aeromonas media
Lineage: Bacteria; Pseudomonadati; Pseudomonadota; Gammaproteobacteria; Aeromonadales; Aeromonadaceae
Description: bacterial SSU rRNA
Rfam family: Bacterial small subunit ribosomal RNA
Source: RNAcentral